GUAGGUGGCAAGCGUUGUCCGGAAUUAUUGGGCGUAAAGCGCGCGCAGGCGGUUCUUCAAGUCUGAUGUGAAAGCCCACGGCUCAACCGUGGAGGGUCAUUGGAAACUGGAGAACUUGAGUACAGAAGAGGAAAGCGGAAUUCCACGUGUAGCGGUGAAAUGCGUAGAGAUGUGGAGGAACACCAGUGGCGAAGGCGGCUUUCUGGUCUGUAACUGACGCUGAGGCGCGAAAGCGUGGGGGAGCAAGCAGGAUUAGAUACCCUGGUAGUCCACGCCGUAAACCGAUGAGUGCUAAGUGUUAGGGGGUUUUCCGCCCCCCCCUUAGUGCUGCAGCUAACGCAUUAAGCACUCCGCCUGGGGAGUACGGCCGCAAGGCUG
RNAcentral lists this ribosomal RNA (378 nucleotides) under uncultured organism. RNAcentral's name for it is "partial 16S ribosomal RNA". It matches the Rfam family "Bacterial small subunit ribosomal RNA", at positions 527 to 896 of the family's 1533-position model. The record is from RNAcentral.